RNAcentral lists this long non-coding RNA (15127 nucleotides) under Triticum aestivum (bread wheat). RNAcentral describes it as "long non-coding RNA (TAES_LNC016701)". The record is from RNAcentral. Lineage: Eukaryota; Viridiplantae; Streptophyta; Magnoliopsida; Poales; Poaceae.
AAAUAUGCCCUAGAGGCAAUAAUAAAGUUAUUAUUUAUUUCCUUAUAUCAUGAUAAAUGUUUAUUAUUCAUGCUAGAAUUGUAUUAACCCGAAACAUAAUACAUGUGUGAAUACAUAGACAAACAUAGUGUCACUAGUAUGCCUCUACUUGACUAGCUUGUUGAUCAAAGAUGGUUAUGUUUCCUAGCCAUAGACAUGAGUUGUCAUUUGAUUAACGGGAUCACAUCAUUAGGAGAAUGAUUUGAUUGGCUUGACCCAUUCCGUUAGCUUAGCACACGAUUGUUUAGUAUUCUGCUAUUGCUUUCUUCAUGACUUAUACAUGUUCCUAUAACUAUGAGAUUAUGCAACUCCCGUUUACCAGAGGAACACUUUGUGUGCUACCAAACGUCACAACGUAACUGGGUGAUUAUAAAGGUGCUCUACAAGUGUCUCCGAAGGUACUUGUUGGGUUGGCGUAUUUCGAGAUUAGGAUUUGUCACUCCGAUUGUCGGAGAGGUAUCUCUGGGCCCACUCGGUAAUGCACAUCACUAUAAGCCUUGCAAGCAUUGCAACUAAUGAGUUAGUUGCUGGAUGAUGUAUUACGGAACGAGUAAAGAGACUUGUCGAUAACGAGAUUGAACUAGGUAUUGAGAUACCGACGAUCGAAUCUCGGGCAAGUAACAUACCGAUGACAAAGGGAACAACGUAUGUUGUUAUGCGGUCUGACCGAUAAAGAUCUUCGUAGAAUAUGUGGGAGCCGAUAUGAGCAUCAAGGUUCCGCUAUUGGUUAUUGACCGGAGACGUGUCUCGGUCAUGUCUACAUAGUUCUCGAACCCGUAGGGUCCGCACGCUUAAUGUUUGAUGAGGGUUAUAUUAUGAGUUUAUGUGAUUUGAUGUACCGAAGGUAGUUCGCAGUCCCGGAUGAGAUUGGGGACAUGACGAGGAGUCUCGAAAUGGUCGAGACGUAAAGAUCGAUAUAUUGGACGACUAUAUUCGGACAUCGGAAAGGUUCCGAGUGAUUCGGGUAUUUUUGGAGUACCGGAGAGUUACGGGAAUUCGCCGGGGAGUAUAUGGGCCUUAUUGGGCUUUAGGGGAAAGAGAGAGGAGAGGCUGCGCGCCCCCUCAAGGCCUAGUCCGAAUUGGACUAGGGGGAGGGGCUGCGCCCCCAGCCCCCUCCUUCCUUCUCUUCUCUUUCCCCUUUCCUUGACUCCUACUCCUACUACUUGGAAGGGGGGAAUCCUACUCCCGAUGGGAGUAGGACUCCUCCUAGGGCGCGCCAUAGAGAGGGCCGGCCCUCCCCCUCCUCCACUCCUUUAUAUACGGGGAGGGGGCACCCCUUGGAGACACAACAAUUGAUCUCUUAGCCGUGUGCGGUGCCCCCCUCCACCAUAAUCCACCUCGAUAAUAUCGUAGCGGUGCUUAGGCGAAGCCCUGCGUCGGUAGAACAUCAUCAUCGUCACCACGUCGUCGUGCUGACGGAACUCUCCCUCAAAGCUCGGCUGGAUCGGAAUUCGAGGGACGUCAUCGAGCUGAACGUGUGCUGAACUCGGAGGUGCCGUGCGUUCGGUACUUGAUCGGUCGGAUCGUGAAGACGUACGGCUACAUCAACCGCGUUGUGCUAACGCUUCCGCUUUCGGUCUACGAGGGUACGUGGACACACUCUCCCCUCUCGUUGCUAUGCAUCACCAUGAUCUUGCGUGUGCGUAGAAAUUUUUUGAAAUUACUACGUUCCCCAACAGUGGCAUCCGAGCAUGGUUUUAUGCGUAGAUGUUAUAUGCACGAGUAGAACACAAGUGAGUUGUGGGCGAUAUAAGUCAUACUGCUUACCAGCAUGUCAUACUUUGGUUCGGCGGUAUUGUUGGAUGAAGCGGCCCGGACCGACAUUACGCGUACGCUUACGCGAGACUGGUUUUACCGCCGUGCUAUGCACACAGGUGACUAGCGGGUGUCAGUUUCUCCAACUUUAGUUGAACCGAGUGUGGCUACGCCCGGUCCUUGCGAAGGUUAAAACAGCACCAACUUGACAAACUAUCGUUGUGGUUUUGAUGCGUAGGUAAGAACGGUUCUUGCUCAGCCCGUAGCAGCCACGUAAAACUUGCAACAACAAAGUAGAGGACGUCUAACUUGUUUUUGCAGGGCAUGUUGUGAUGUGAUAUGGUCAAGACGUGAUGAGAUAUAAGUUGUUGUAUAAGAUGAUCAUGUUUUGUUGAAGUUAUCGGCAACUGGCAGAAGCCUUAUGGUUGUCUCUUUAUUGCAUAAGAUGCAAGCGCCAAAUAAUUGCUUUACUUUAUCGCUAUGCGAUAGCAAUAGUUGCAAGAGCAAUAGUUGGCGAGACGACCAUGUGACGGCACAUUGAUAUAGAUCAAGAUGAUGGAGAUCAUGGUGUCAUGCCGGUGACGAUGGAAAUCAUGACGAUGCUUUGAAGAUGGAGAUCAAAGGCACAAGAUGAUGAUGGCCAUAUCAUGUCACAUAUUUUGAUUGCAUGUGAUGUUUAUCUUUUAUAAAUCUUAUUUUGCUUAGUUCGACGGUAGCUUUAUAAGAUGAUCUCUCACUAAUUAUCAAGGUACAAGUGUUCUCCCUGAGUAUGCACCGUUGCGAAAGUUCUACGUGCUGAGACACCACGUGAUGAUAGGGUGUGAUAGGCUCUACGUUCAAAUACAACGGGUGCAAAACAGUUGCACACGCGGAAUACUCAGGUUAAACUUGACGAGCCUAGCAUAUAACAGAUAUGGCCUCGGAACACUGAGACCGAAAGGUCGAGCGUGAAUCAUAUAGUAGAUAUGAUCAACAUAGUGAUGUUCACCAUUGAAACUACUCCAUCUCACGUGAUGAUCGGACAUGGUUUAGUUGAUAUGGAUCACGUGAUCACUUAGAGGAUUAGAGGGAUAUCUAUCUAAGUGGGAGUUCUUAAGUAAUAUGAUUAAUUGAACUUAAAUUUAUCAUGAACUUAGUCCUGGUAGUAUUAGCAUAUCUAUGUUGUAGAUCAAUAGCUCGCGUUUAGCUCCCCUGUUUUAUUUUUUAUAUGUUCCUAGAGAAAACUAAGUUGAAAGAUGUUAGUAGCAAUGAUGCGGAUUGGAUCCCUGAUCUGAGGUUUAUCCUCAUUGCUGUACAGAAGAAUUAUGUCCUUGAUGCACCGCUAGGUGACAAACCUAUUGCAGGAGCAGAUACAGAUGUUAUGAACGUUUGGCUAGCUCAAUAUGAUGACUACUUGAUAGUUUAGUGCACCAUGCUUAAACGGCUUAGAAUCGGGACUUCAAAGACGUUUUGAACGUCAUGGACCAUAUGAGAUGUUCCAGGAGUUGAAGUUAAUAUUUCAAGCAAAUACCCGAGUUGAGAGAUAUGAAGUCUCCAACAAGUUCUAUAGCUAAAAGAUGGAGGAGAAUAGCUCAAGCAGUGAGCAUGUGCUCAGAUUGUAUGGGUACUACAAUCGCUUGAAUCAAGUGGGAGUUAAUCUUCCAGAUAAAAUAGUGCUUGACAGAAUUCUCUAGUCACCAUCACCAAGUUAGUAGAACUUCGUGAUGAACUAUAAUAUGCAAGGGAUAACGAAAAUGAUUCCCAAGCUCUUCGUGAUGCUGAAAUCGACGAAGGUAGAAAUCAAGAAAGAGCAUCAAGUGUUGAUGAUUAACAAGACCACUAGUUUCAAGAAAAGGGCAAAGGGAAAGAAAGGGAACUUCAUGUAGAACGGCAAGCAAGUUGCUGCUCAAGUGAAGAAGCCCAAAUUUGGACCUAAGCCUGAGACUGAGUGCUUCUACUGCAAAAGUACUGGUCACUGGAAGCAGAACUACCCCAAAUAAUUGGCGGAUAAGAAGGAUGGCAAAGUGAACAAAAGUAUAUUUGAUAUACAUGUUAUUGAUGUGUACUUUACUAGUGUUUAUAGAAACCCCUUAGUAUUUGAUACUGGUUUAGUUGCUAAGAGUAGUAACUUAAAACAGGAGUUGCAAAAUGAACAGAGACUAGUUAAGGAUGUAGUGACGAUGUGUGUUGGAAGUAGUUCCAAGAUUGAUGUGAUCAUCAUCGCACAAUCCAUAUAACUUUCGGGAUUAGUGUUGAACCUAAAUAAAUGUUAUUUGGUGUUUGCGUUGAGCAUGAAUAUGAUUUGAUCGUGUUUAUUGCAAUACGGUUAUUCAUUUAAGUUAGAGAAUAAUUGUUGUUCUAUUUACAUGAAUAAAACCUUCUAUGGUCAUACACCCAAUGAAAAUGGUUUGUUGGAUCUCGAUCGUAGUAAUACACAUAUUCAUAAUAUUGAAGCCAAAAGAUGCAAAGUUAAUAAUGAUAGUGCAACUCAUUUGUGGCACUGCCGUUUAGGUCAUAUUGGUGUAAAGCGCAUGAAGAAACUCCAUGCUGAUGGGAUUUUGGAAUCACUUGAUUAUGAAUCACUUGAUGCUUGCGAACCAUGCCUUAUGGGAAAGAUGACUAAAAACUCCGUUCUCCGGAACAAUGGAGCGAGCAAUAGACUUGUUGGAAAUAAUACAUACUGAUGUAUGCAGUUCGAUGAGUGUUGAGGCUCGCGGCAGGUAUCGUUAUUUUCUGACCUUCAUAGAUGAUUUGAGCAGAUAUGGGUAUAUCUACUUGAUGAAACAUAAGUCUGAAACAUUUGAAAAAAGUUCAAAGAAUUUCAGAGUGAAGUGGAAAAUCAUCGUAACAAGAAAAAUAAAGUUUCCACGAUCUGAUCGCGGAGACGAAUAUUUGAGUUACGAGUUUGAUCUUCAAUUAAAACAAUGUGGAAUAGUUUCACAAACUCAUGCCACCUGGAACACCACAGCUUAAUGGUGUGUCCGAACAUCGUAACCGUACUUUAUUUGAUAAUGGUGCGAUCUAUGAUGUCUCUUACCGAUUUAACACUAUCAUUUUGGGGUUAUGCAUUAGAGACAGCUGCAUUCACGUUAAAUUGGGCACCAUCUAAAUCCGUUGAGAUGACACCGGAUGAACUGUGGUUUAGCAAGAAACCAAAGUUGCCGUUUCUUAAAGUUUGGGGUUGUGAUGCUUAUAUGAAAAAGUUUCAUCCUGAUAAGCUCAAACCCAAAUCGGAGAAUUGUGCCUUCAUAGGAUACCCAGAGGAGACUGUUGGGUACACCUUCUAUCACAGAUCCGAAGGCAAGACUUUUGUUGCUAAAUUUGGAUCCUUUCUAGAGAAGGAGUUUCUCUCGAAAGAAGUGAGUGGGAGGAAAGUAGAACUUGAUGAGGUAACUGUACCUGCUCCCUUAUUGGAAAGUAGUUCAUCACAGAAAUCUGUUCCUGUGACUACUACACCAAUUAGUGAGGAAGCUAAUGAUGAUGAUCAUGUAACUUUAGAUCAAGUUACUACCGAACCUCGUAGGUAAACCAGCGUGAGAUCCACACCAGAGUGGUACGGUAAUCCUGUUCUGGAGGUCAUGUUUCUUGACCAUGACGAACCUACGAACUAUGAGGAAGCGAUGAUGAGCCCAGAUUUCGCGAAAUGGCUUGAGGCCAUGAAAUCUGAGAUGAGAUCCAUGUAUGAGAACAAAGUAUGGACUUUGAUUGACUUGCCCAAUGAUCGGCGAGCCAUUGAGAUUAUAUGGAUCUUCAAGAGGAAGACGGACGCUGAUAGUAGUGUUACUAUCUACAAAGUUAGAAUUGUCGCAAAAGGUUUUCGACAAGUUCAAGGUGUUGACUGCGAUGAAAGUUUCUCGCUCGUAUCUAUGCUUAAGUCUGUCCGAAUCUGUUAGCAAUUGCCGCAUUUUAUGAAAUCUGGCAAAUGGAUAAACAAAACUGCAUUCCUUAAUGAAUUUAUUAAAGAAGAGUUGUAUAUGAUGCAACCAGAAGGUUUUGUCAAUCCUAAAGGUGCUAACAAAAUAUGCAAGCUCCAGCGAUCCAUCUAUGGACUGGUGCAAGCAUCUCGGAGUUGGAAUAUACACUUUGAUGAGUUGAUCAAAGCAUAUAAUUUUAUACAGACUUGCGGUGAAGCCUGUAUUUACAAGAAAGUGAGUGGGAGCACUACAACAUUUCUGAUAAGUAUACGUGAAUGACAUAUUGUUGAUCGGAAAUAAUGUAGAAUUAUUCAGCAAAGCAUAAAGGAGUGUUUGAAAGGAGUUUUUCAAAGAAAGACCUCGGUGAAGCUGCUUACAUAUUGAGCAUCAAGAUCUAUAGAGAUGGUCAAGACACUUGAUAAGUUUUUCAAUGAGUACACACCUUGACAAGAUUUUGAAGUAGUUCAAAAUGGAACAGUCAAAGAAAGAGUUCUUGCCUGUGUUACAAGGUGUGAAAUUGAGUAAGACUCAAAGCCCGACCACGGCAGAAGAUAGAAAGAGAAUGAAAGUCAUUCCCUAUGCCUUGGCCAUAGGUUCUAUAAAGUAUGCCAUGCUGUGUACCAGAUCUAUUGUAUACCCUACACUGAUUUUGGCAAGGGAGUACAAUAGUGAUCUAGGAGUAGAUCACUGGACAGCGGUCAAAAUUAAUUAUCCUUAGUGGAAUAAGGAUAUGUUUCUCGAUUAUGGAGGUGACAAAAAGGGUUCGUCGUAAAGGGUUACGUCAAUGCAAAUUUUGACACUGAUCCAGAUGACUCUAAGUCUCAAUUUGGAUACAUAUUGAAAGUGGGAGCAAUUAGCUAGAGUAGCUCCGUGCAGAGCAUUAUAGACAUAGAAAUUUGCAAAAUACUUACGGAUCUGAAUGUGACAAACCCGUUGACUAAAAUUAUCUCACAAGCAAAACAUGAUCACACCUUAGUACUCUUUGGGUGUUAAUCACAUAGCGAUGUGAACUAGAUUAUUGACUCUAGUAAACCCUUUGGGUGUUGGUCACAUGACGAUGUGAACUAUGGGUGUUAAUCACAUGGUGAUGUGAACUAUUGAUGUUAAAUCACAUGGCGAUGUGAUCUAGAUUAUUGACUCUAGUGCAAGUGGGAGACUGAAGGAAAUAUACCCUAGAGGCAAUAAUAAAGUUAUUAUUUAUUUCCUUAUAUCAUGAUAAAUGUUUAUUAUUCAUGCUAGAAUUGUAUUAACCGGAAACAUAAUACAUGUGUGAAUACAUAGACAAACAUAGUGUCACUAAUAUGCCUCUACUUGACUAGCUCGUUGAUCAAAGAUGGUUAUGUUUCCUAGCCAUAGACAUGAGUUGUCAUUUGAUUAACGGGAUCACAUCAUUAGGAGAAUGAUGUGGUUGACUUGACCCAUUCCGUUAGCUUAGCACACGAUCGUUUAGUAUUCUGCUAUUGCUUUCUUCAUGACUUAUACAUGUUCCUAUGACUAUGAGAUUAUGCAACUCCUGUUUACCAGAGGAACACUUUGUGUGCUACCAAACAUCACGACGUAACUGGGUGAUUAUAAAUGUGCUCUACAAGUGUCUCCGGAGGUACUUGUUGGGUUGGCGUAUUUCGAGAUUAGGAUUUGUCACUCCGAUUGUCGGAGAGGUAUCUCUGGGCCCACUCGGUAAUGCACAUCACUAUAAGCCUUGCAAGCAUUGCAACUAAUGAGUUAGUUGCGGGAUGAUGUAUUACGGAACGAGUAAAGAGACUUGCCGAUAACGAGAUUAAAAUAGGUAUUGAGAUACCGACGGUCGAACCUCGAGCAAGUAACAUACCGAUGACAAAGGGAACAACGUAUGUUGUUAUGCGGUCUGACCGAUAAAGAUCUUCGUAGAAUAUGUGGGAGCCAAUAUGAGCAUCAAGGUUCUGCUAUUGGUUAUUGACCGGAGACGUGUCUCGGUCAUGUCUACAUAGUUCUCGAACCCGUAGGGUCCGCACGCUUAAAGUUCAAUGACGGUUAUAUUAUGAGUUUAUGUGAUUUGAUGUACCGAAGGUAGUUCGGAGUUCCGGAUGAGAUUGGGGACAUGACGAGGAGUCUCGAAAUGGUCGAGAUGUAAAGAUCGAUAUAUUGGACGACUAUAUUCGGACAUCGGAAAGGUUCCGAGUGAUUCGGGUAUUUUUCGGAGUACCGGAGAGUUACGGGAAUUCGCCGGGGAGUAUAUGGGCCUUAUUGGGCUUUAGGGGAAAGAGAGAGGAGAGGCUGCACGCCCCCCCAAGGCCUAGUCCGAAUUGGACUUGGGGGAGGGGCUGCGCCCCCUCCUUCCUUCUCUUCUUUUUCCCCUUUCCUUGACUCCUACUCCUACUACUUGGAAGGGGGGGAAUCCUACUCUCGGUGGGAGUAGGACUCCUCCUAGGGCGCGUCAUAGAGAGGGUCGGCCCUCCCCCUCCUCCACUCCUUUAUAUACGGGGAGGGGGCACCCCUUGGAGACACAACAAUUGAUCUCUUGAUCUCUUAGCCGUGUGCGGUGCCCCCCUCCAUCAUAAUCCACCUCGAUAAUAUCGUAGCGGUGCUUAGGCAAAGCCCUGCGUCGGUAGAACAUCAUCAUCGUCACCACGCCGUCGUGCUGACGGAACUCUCCCUCAAAGCUCGGCUGGAUCGGAGUUCGAGGGACGUCGCUGAGCUGAACGUGUGCUGAACUCGGAGGUGCCGCGCGUUCGGUACUUGAUCGGUCGGAUCGUGAAGACGUACGGCUACAUCAAACGCGUUGUGCUAACGCUUCCGCUUUCGGUCUACGAGGGUACGUGGACACACUCUCCCCUCUCGUUGCUAUGCAUCACCAUGAUCUUGCGUGUGCGUAGGAAAUUUUUGAAAUUACUACGUUCCCCAACACAUAAUGCAUUUCUUUGCUUUUCAACAACAUUGAAUACAAAAGACAUCAUCAAAUCUUUGCUAGAAUAGCAAGACCAAAGAAAACAAGAACCACAAGUAUGCAUUUCAGAAGAUUUCCAACUUCCAUAACUGCUUGCACAAGUUGGACUAAUAUCUUCUCCAUGCAUUCAUUGUUUAUCUGCAGAUUCUUGAUUUUGCAUUCUUCUUUCUUCAACUUUGGUCCGAAAGAAGUAGAUGUUGCUUCCCCUCUAGUUGCACAUGCAGCCGCAUCAUUGCCUUCGAUUGUACUAUCUAUUAAGUUUCUUUCUAUCAAUAAAUCAAUGUAUUGGCCUUCCCAAAACCAAAAUGAGCAUCCAUCGUCCUACACAAAAGAAUGAGCAAGUUCGAAGUAAGCUACCGCAAUUGAACUAAAGAAUGAGCUAUCAAAUGAGCUACCGCAAGUGCACGUAUCCCGUCGUUUUCGCAUUUGAAGAACACCCAUCCGGGGUGCUUCGGCGUGCCCGAAGUUAGCCGUAACACUUUUCGCGUGCAGUCGUCGCACUGUAUGAGCGGCAUCGACAAGCCACAGAGACGCCGCGCGAGCGCCGAGCUUGGUGGACGGCCGGACAAAUCCAUGCCCGCAAACCGUUGGCGGCGGCGGGCGGACGAACCCGUACCUACAUGCGGUGAUGCGCCCUUGCCGAGGCUGCGGGAGAGGCUCCCCGACCACUCCAUCGCUUGGCGCAACAACCGGCAGCCGAAAAAGCUAAAUCCGGCGGUCCGUGAUGAAGUGCCACAGAUCCGGUGGCCCGCCGACGCAGAGGGGAGGGAGGGGAGGCCUCGUGCGCGUGGCGGCCUUUCGGCGUGCUCCUGCAGUCUGCUUUCGCCGGAAUCUUGGGCGGCGGCGCAAGGGGAGGAGGAGAGGUGGUUGGUGGGGAAAGCGCGGGCUGAAAUGUCCCCCCACCAACCGCUUCCACUUAUAUGCAGGGCACCGCAGCCGCGAGGGGGAAACCCGCGUAUUCUCGGGUUGGGGUCGGGAUUUUGCUGCGCCCCUCAAAAUUUUUUGCGGGCCAGGGCGGAAUGUGGGGUCUGAUCGGGCUGGUUUUUCCGCCCCGGCCCGCAUUUUGACGGUUAUUUUGCGGGUCGGGGCGGGAUGCGGGGUGUGCUAGAAUUGCUCUUUAAUGACCCAAAAGCUUUGGUUACGCGAUUACUACCGGUUAACAUUUCUAAGGCAACCCCACGAAACUUCGUUCCAUCUCUGCGAGAUCUGCCGUGCUUCUCCCCUUGCUCCCCGUACCGACUCCCGGUUCUUUUCUCCGGUUCCUCGGCGAUGGUCGUCUGCAAAUGCCGCAAGGUUACUUCUUGAUCAUUUCUCCACCUAUUCGGCGAUGCCCCUGCGGUCUCCUGCGUGUUCUUUCUGUUGCGCGUCGACAUGUGAGGGGGGAUUUUGGAUCUGGGCAGGGGAAGUACGCGGUGGCGGAUUUGGCGUUCGCGUGGCCUGGAUCUGAGAGGGCACUGCGAGCGCGGAUUCGAAAUUUUAGUUUGGGGUUCUUGGAUUUACUGCUGGCGUGUUGAGAUUUGUCAGUGCUGCCUGAAUUUUGUGUUGACAGGGCGUGUGUGCUUGCUUUGGAUUUUCAGGCGACGAGGGUUUAUUGCUUCGUCCACCAGGUUCCGGUCUGUGGCGAGUGCAUCUGCUUCCCAGAACAUCAAUUAUGCGUGGUGAGCUUUCCGACUUGAUCCCCUCAUCCCAAUUAACUCAGAAAAAGGCAAAGCGGUUAAUAUGUGCUUGCUCAAUGUGCUCCAUCCUGUUUAGUGUCUAUAGUGUAUCACAAGUUUGUCUCUCAUGUUAGCUGUUGUAUAUUGGCAUUAAGCUUGCUGGACAUGAGUGCCCUUUCAAAUAUAUUGUUUCGCAUAUGCUUUGAAAUGUGCUAGUAAUAUAGGUUUGUAAUGUGAAAUAUACUUGUUUACAGUGUGAUAGAAGAUUGGAUCACAUGUGAGUACUGUUUAACAAAUAGCUGCUGAGACAACAUUUUUAUGCCUGGUGCUGCUGCUAGAGUAUCAUAUUUUUUACAAUGCAUUGGCUCUUAGUGCGCUCUCUUACGAGAUGGUAGUUUUUAGAGACAACUACCCCAAUGCAUUGUAUCUUACAUAUGCUUAAUAUUGGAGUAGCCCCCAUUUUUAUUAAGAUACUUGACUUUUAUUGGAUGAUACUAUAAGAAUGAUAUAUGUGUUGGAUUCCGUGUAGAGAUGGGUUCUUAGAUAAGAGAUGGUUCCAUCAUCUCUUGUCAAUAAUUAUGAAUUACAUAGACAAAAAUCUGAUGUGUGAUGCUAAGAGAGCCUACGUAGGGCAUUGGGAGAGACCUGACUAUAAGUUAGAUCCAUCUUUUUUUUCCUCUCUAGUUUGGCCCUAUAACAGAUUCACAGCCCUACAAUUUCCACCUCCACUUUCUUACUGAAACAUUUGGAAUUCAUUAUUGUUGCUUAGUCCUAUUGCUGCACCUAUGCUGUAAAAUUUUGUGACACCAUAUAUGUGCAUGCUAUGAUCAUAUCAUUUUCCUGUUCUGUUUAUUUUGCGUGAAGAGAAAUUUAAUAAUCACAUGUAAGUAUAUAACGUUGCUAUUGGCUUCAUAUCAGCUACUUGCAUUAUAUUCUUACAAUUCUGUUAAAGUAAUCGUGUAACAUUAAUUUUACAAAACUAAUAUCCUCUUUUUUACUUUCUGUAGGUAAAAAACUAUGCUGAAUGGGUUGUUAAUUCUGAUUAUGACUGGCCACAACACUGUUCUUUGUGUAAUUUGGUUCUAGAAGCUGCAAGUGAAGAAACUACACGAUUGGGUUGCCUCCGUAUGUAUUGCUUCAAGUAGAAUAUUUGAAUCCAUUCGUCUCUUGGAGCCACCUUCACUAAAUAUAACACGAUAUAUUUUGUCUUCUUGACAUCUUUUAGAUGUGAUGCACACAAAAUGCUUGAUAUCACAUGUCCAAAGUUUUCCUGCACAAACAGCACCAGCAGGAUUUGUCUGCCCCUCAUGUUCAAUUCCUGUAAGCUAAUCUCUGGCUUGAUAUGCUAUUACUUUGAGGUUCCAACAGUUCUUUUAACCUUAACAUGUGACAUAGUUAUUUCCUGACAGAUAUGGCCUCCUUCGAGUAUUAAAGAUACAGGCUCCAGCCUCCAUGCUAAACUGAAGGAAGCAGUAGUCCAGGUUAGUCCUUCAAAUCAGUUCCUUCUUGCAAGAUCAAAACCACUAAUUUUCCUUGAAUUUUUCCCUUUGUUUUUAUUUGUGCGAAUAAAUUCUUCUUUGGUGCACUAUGACACAUUUACCUAUGAACUACGACUCUUUUAGCUAAGUAUAUUUACUGCACUGUUUGACAAAGCUUGCACUUUGUAACAUGUCGCAGACUGGUCUGGAGAAGAAUGUAUUUGGGAAUCAUUUUGUGACAAUGCCUAAAGCUGAUGCCUGCACACCCCCUACAUUUGCUUCAGACCCCCUUAAGCGUCUAUCAUAUUCUGGUGAAUCUACUGAUGCAAACAUGCUUAACUCUUCGAAAGAUGCAACUUUAUCAUCAGCAGUACUCUCCCAGGGGGAUACAUAUCCUGCUGGGAUGUACUCUUCUGGGACUCUUAGCCAUGUGGAACCAGAAAUAGUUGAAAUAGAUGGUCCUAGUACCAUAGCAACAAAGUUCCCAGAGCAGGAGCCCAAUUUCAUCAGAAGUCCAAGCCCGCACGGGGUAAGUCAUGACAUAUCCUUGUGUAUAUGGUUAGCGUCUGUUUGUUUUCUGUUCACCUUAAGCAGAGUUAGUGAUCCUAUUCCUUCGUUAUGUAGCCUAGUGCCACGACAAGAAAAGGUGCUAACUAUGUUGAGAGACAAAAUUCAGAGAUGUCUUAUUAUGCUGAUGAUGAAGAUGCAAACCGCAAAAAGUACACUAAAAGGGGUAAGAAUGCCAUUAUCAAAAAAUCUAUUUUCUACUUCCGUCUUUAUGUCAGGUCCUUCUUUUCUUGAGUUAUACCGAGCUUUUGUCAUAAGAUUAUUUGAUUUUUCCCCAAUAUUUGAGGUGACAUUUCUGUCUCAAAUUAGUUGCCAAACACUAGUCAUGUUUCCAAUCACCCACAAAAUAAUUACUAUUUUAUUUAUCUCAGUUUGAUGUGUUAACCUCGUCUUCUACCACCCCUCUUACAAUACACCUCUAUUCCCAGGGCUGUGAUACAUCUAACAUGAAAUGUACAUGUAUAUAUAUGCUGGAAAUGCAUAAGACUAUUUAGAUUGGUUCAUAUGUAACUAGUCAAUUCUAGGUGGAACAUUUAUUUCAAAAGAUGGUUGUGCUUGUUUCUUAUGAAGCUUCAGUUUACAGGUACAUACCGUCACAAAUUUUUAAGGAUGCUGCUACCUUUUUGGUCUAGUGCCCUGCCAACAUUACCAGUUACAGCACCCCCUAAAAAGGAAAAUGAUGCUCCAGAAGGCCGGUCACGACAUCAGAGGACGUCACGAAUCGAUCCCACAAAGAUCUUACUUGCAAUGGCAAUCAUGUAAGGUUUCUGCCAUGCAAUUGUUUUAGCCUCUGACUAAUAUUCUCCUGCAAUGGAUCUUAAUUUCGUGAAGUAAUGUUCAAAACGGAUAUUACAUGGCUGAAGUUUUAUUACUGUAUUAUGGAAGAUGUAAUACAUUCAGAAGUAAAUGAUUAUUUUGUGCUUUGAAUAUAUAAGAUGGCCAGCACUGUUAGUUUUCCCCCUUGAUUCAUCUGGGUCUCUGUUUGAGUGGCCUCCUACCCAUAUUUCUAGCAAAUUUGAGGGAAAUAACCAGAAAUUGGUACUCGCAGUAUUAUGUUUUUAAUUUGAGUUCUGUACAAUCAGCAAGGUUGCUAGCUGUGCAAUUUGAUUUUUUUUUUCUUUAGAGAUGUUGCACCAUUUAUUAUCAGAGUGUUCGUCUAUGAGUAUGAUAUCCAUUUCUAUAUUCUUGAUUUUAUGUGUAUAAAUAAAUAGAUAUGUCUGUUCCUUCAUUCUGUUAGCUUGAUUUGUGACAUAGCAAGCAGUUCUGUGUGUCUUAGAUGCGAGUCCUGUAAAGCUAAUAGUCUGUCUAAUGAAAAACUUUAAGAUGUGUUUCAUUUCCUUAUUUUAAUUUUGCCUUUUAGUUUGUGUUGGAUGCAAAGAUUUUAUUAUUCUUGAUUUAAUUAACCUGCAUUAAUGUGCUGUUAAUGCAGGGCAUGUAUAGCAACGAUGGGAAUUCUCUACUACCGGUUGUCGCAGCGCAGUCUUUCUGAAAACUUUGCCCAUGAUGAGGCUCAGUAGUAGAGUUGAAACUUCCAACUUGCAGUUUGUUUCUGGUACUGCCUUGCUGCUGAUUCAAGGGUUUUACCCUGCCUGUAUUAUUUUCCAUUUCCCCCUUUUUGGGCCUUUCAGGGUGGUUGUGGAUGGGAAGGUGGAGGUAGUGAUUAUAGUUACAUAAGAGUUAUAGCAGACUGGUUUUAUAUGCUGAUUCAUCUGUUAUCUUAUACCAGACGGGAAAUUGUUGAAGUUGUCAACUAUUUUCUUAUUCCUGUUGUCGCGCCUUCUGAACUGCUACAGGUGUUACUUUGAUCGAGCCAUUCUAAAACAUCGCUGUGUUAUUUCUCCAGUAUUUUUCACUUGUCACGAUGAUGCUGGGAAAUUAUAGGCGUCUUAUGCACAACAUGGCAGGAGAUCAUGAUAUUCUUUUAGUUUGCAAACGCAGAUGCUGAUUAAUUUCAGCAGGAAUAAAAGUGCAACAAUUAUAUAUGACACAGAAAUGCAAUGUUGCCCGUAGCUACUUCCAUAAUAGCAAUACAUGUUGCAAAAAGUCACUUUGGAACCCGGGUGCAUUGGAGCCCUAUUUUUUGAACUGUGAAAAUGCUAUUUUGAAAUCCUGUAAAGCUAAUAGCAUUAUUCACUAUUUGGAGAUCAUCAUUUUGUCAUUUUUGUAUAGGUCGCAUAUUUACUUAUUUCAUCACCAAACUUUACACAUGUGUAAUAUACAUCUGUAUGAUCAUGUAGAAUUUUUUUCAGAAUUUUUUGAAACAUUAAAUGUGAUUUUCAAAGUAUUUAAAAUAAGGUCCUUCAAUACACCGGGUUCCAAAAAUCCGCUCUCUAUCUGUUGCAUAUAAGUAAAUUCAUAUAUAGUUCACGGGUGUUAUUUCUCCUCGCCAUGUUCUAAUUUCACUAUUGUUUGCAUUUUUUUGUCGGGUAGCUUACCAACCUGACCGCUUGGUCUAAUUUCACUCAUCGAAACAAAUAUUUUUUUUUAGAAAUGGCAGUUCAUCAAACUAAAUUGAUAUAUGACCUCUUACUACUUUCGAACAUUCAUCCCUUAUAGUCACAUGUAUCUGUUGGUGCUUGGCAAGAAGUCAUCUUUGUUAGUGACCUGCGUCCUCAGAGUGGGCCGGGUUGGAUGGAAGGACCCAACAGAUGGGCUUGGGAUGCUAACAUGGAGAAAGGAACAACACACUACUAAUAGGAUAUUCCUCAAAAAAAAACUACUAAUAGGAUUUUCUAAAAAAAAACUACUAAUAAGAUUGACUCCCCUCAAAAAGAAAAAAAACUAAUAGGAUUGUCUAAAAAAAAAGAAACUACUAAU